This 484-nucleotide ribosomal RNA is filed under the name uncultured Herbaspirillum sp. RNAcentral describes it as "partial 16S ribosomal RNA". Lineage: Bacteria; Pseudomonadati; Pseudomonadota; Betaproteobacteria; Burkholderiales; Oxalobacteraceae. The record is from RNAcentral.
CACGUAGUUAGCCGGUGCUUAUUCUUCAGGUACCGUCAUUAGUCGCAGAUAUUAGCUGCAACCGUUUCUUCCCUGACAAAAGAGCUUUACAACCCGAAGGCCUUCUUCACUCACGCGGCAUUGCUGGAUCAGGGUUGCCCCCAUUGUCCAAAAUUCCCCACUGCUGCCUCCCGUAGGAGUCUGGGCCGUGUCUCAGUCCCAGUGUGGCUGGUCGUCCUCUCAGACCAGCUACUGAUCGUCGCCUUGGUGAGCUUUUACCCCACCAACUAGCUAAUCAGAUAUCGGCCGCUCCAGGAGCAUGAGGUCUUGCGAUCCCCCACUUUCAUCCGUAGAUCGUAUGCGGUAUUAGCUAAUCUUUCGACUAGUUAUCCCCCACUCUAGGGCACGUUCCGAUAUAUUACUCACCCGUUCGCCACUCGCCAUCAGGAGCAAGCUCCUAUGCUGCCGUUCGACUUGCAUGUGUAAGGCAUGCCGCCAGCGUUCA